GGGGAAACCCUGACGGUGCGACGCCGCGUGAACGAAGAAGGCCUGACGGUUGUAAAGUUCUUUUCUCGAUGAAGAAUAAGGGGAGGAGUGGAACGCCUUCCCGAUGACGUUAGUCGAGGAAUAAGCCCCGGCCAAUUACGUGCCAGCAGCCGCGGUAAUACGUAUGGGGCGACCGUUGUUCGGAAUCAUUGGGCGUAAAGGGCGCGCAGGCGGCCUUGCAAGCUUGGUGUCAAAGGCUCUGGCUCAACCAGGGUUGUGCGCUGAGAACUGCAAGGCUCGAGUUGUUGAGGGGAAGCUGGAAUUCCUGGUGUAGGGGUGAAAUCUGUAGAUAUCAGGAAGAACACCGGUGGCGAAGGCGAGCUUCUGGCGAAUAACUGACGCUGAGGCGCGAAAGCGUGGGGAGCGAACAGGAUUAGAUACCCUGGUAGUCCACGCCGUAAACGAUGUGCACUAGGCGUAGGGUCCAUGAGGACUCUGUGCCGUAGCUAACGUGUUAAGUGCACCGCCUGGGGAGUAUGCUCGCAAGGGUGAAACUCAAAGGAAUUGACGGGGGCCCGCACAAGCGGUGGAGCAUGUGGUUUAAUUCGAUGAUACGCGAGGAACCUUACCAGGGUUUGACAUGUGCACGAACGCUCAAGAGAUUGAGUGGUCCUUCGGGACGUGUACACAGGUGUUGCAUGGCCGUCGUCAGCUCGUGUCGUGAGAUGUUGGGUUAAGUCCCGCAACGAGCGCAACCCUUACCGUCUGUUGCCAACAGGUAAUGCUGGGAACUCGGACGGAACUGCCGGUGACAAACCGGAGGAAGGUGGGGAUGACGUCAGGUCCUCAUGACCCCUAUGUCCUGGGCUACACACGUGCUACAAUGGCCGGCACAGCGCGUCGCGAGGCGGCAACGUUAAGCAAAUCGCUAAAAGCCGGUCUCAGUUCGGAUUGGAGUCUGAAACUCGACUCCAUGAAGGUGGAAUCGCUAGUAAUCGCGCAUCAGAACGGCGCGGUGAAUCC
This 1002-nucleotide ribosomal RNA is filed under the name marine metagenome. RNAcentral's name for it is "bacterial SSU rRNA". It matches the Rfam family "Bacterial small subunit ribosomal RNA", at positions 374 to 1369 of the family's 1533-position model. The record is from RNAcentral.